CCUAAGUUGAGAUUUGUAAUCAGCGAAUCAGGCAAGUAUCUUACCUUUGCAUUUCCUUUAUGCAAUGGACAUGAGUAAGAAGUUUCAGAAUUAUUCUAUUCCUGUACAGAUUAUGUACGCUUUGAUUAUCAACAUGUUAGCUCAGAUAUAUAUUCUGUUAAGUUGAUUUCUAAAUGGUUAUACAAGUGUCCCCACUUGGAUAAUCAUGGCAUUUAUUCACAUGUUGAUAUACCUUUGUCAAUUACCCGUAUACAUAUAUGUUGAAUUACAUAUUAUUGUUGAGCAAGAUUAAAAACCUUCGGGUUUGGAACCAGGCAUGUAUGAACAUCCCGAUAAUGGGAAAAUUUUUAUGCGCUUCGGCGGACAAAGGGUGAGCGAUGAAUUUCGUUCAAGUUAUGUAGUAUUGAUCAAUACAGGGUACAACGGGGCUGAUCACCCUCCGUGCCCGUAAGUUAUGACGGUUUGCGGAUGAAUUUCUGCUAAACCUUUUCGAAAAUGAAAAACAAUGUUCAUAGUAUGUUUCUUAAACCCUAUUCAUGGGUGGAGCCUAAUUUCAAGAAAUUGAAAGAGAGUUGUUAUGUGAAUCUUUUAUCAGUACAGAUUACUUCACAACUUUUGAUUCGUUGUAGAAGUGUUAUGUAAAGAGAAUACUUAUAUUCUUUCAGCUUAUAUAUAUAAUUGCUAUUACUUGCUGGGCACUCAAAUGCUCAUCCUUGCUUAAAUUAAAUGUUUUCAGUUAUGUAUGAGCAACCUGAAGGCUCAGGCACGAACAAAGGAAAAGGAAAGCUGAUCGAAUAAGUGUGUAUUAUGAGUUAAUGGUUAUAGUUGUAUUGGUAUCUAUUCAAGUAUUGUAAGGAAUGUAUUUGAAGGUCACGUACCUGGGGAAGUAAACUUUGAUGUAUGUAAAUUAAGUUCGAAUGUAUUAUUAUUUAGUAUUAUUCAGCUUAAAGAAAUGGUAUCGUGGAGAACCGAGUUCGGGUUUCAAGUAUCCGGAUUUGGGGUCGCCACAGUAUAUAUUACUUAACAACUCUUAAGGGCAUUAAUUACUAUAACAGAAUUACCUGUAAAAUAAGAGAAGAAAAGCAAAAUUAAAAUCAAGUACAAACCAGAGCCUACUAUGUCAGCGAAAGAGAGUGUUUCAGAAUUGUUAACAAAAAGCAUACAGCUAAAAUUGACAGUAUGUAGUUGCUGUAAACCAUAUUACUACUUUGAGAAUAUCAAAAAUUAAAAUGUCGCAUUCAAAUUCACUAAUUACAAUCUAAAAGCAAUCAACGAACACAUCUAGAUGGAUUAGAGUUCAUCAACUAGUAUUAGAUACUGUUUACAAUGGAAGCAAAAUCAUUCUGCUUCUUGCAAACAAAUAUCUCAAAUCCAACAAUUUCAUUCCUAUAUCAACGAACAAAUAAAUACCCAUAAUAGUCUUUCAUAAAAUCUAUUCUGCCUCUGGCAAAAGUUACAAUUUUUCAAGCCCAACAAACGCUCAAAAAAUAUGAAAAACACAAAAAAAAUGGUUUUCAGCUUCCUCAACCAAUUUCCUUUUCCCCAACACUUGGUUUUCCCAAAAAAAAUGGUUUUGCAACUUCAUCCAGGCUAAUACCAUCCAGGAAACUCAAGUCAAAUGUAUCAUCAUCCGUGCUAAUAAUAAGCAUAGCAUCCAGGAAACUCAAGUCAAAUAUAUUAUCAUUUCAUCCCAAUAACGUUCACCAUGAUUUUGGAGAUUAUUAGAAUUGAAAUCUCCCAACUGCCCGUAGUCCAUCAUUGCGUCCUUGAAACCGCCCAAUCAACUGCCUGUGGCAUUAGAAAAUGACUGCUGCAGGUAGGAACCGCCACAUUGUCACUAGAUCAAGUUUAUCAUGCUCUAAAAUCUUGAGCUGCCCAAAAAUGAGGACGCCAGCUGCACUUGUGAAAUACUGCAAAGCAGUCAAUGCUCCAGGGUAAGGAAAUUUCAUGACAGCCUAUUUGUUGAUAAUGGAGAGCAAUGAUGCUGAAAGGCAAUAUCCGGCAGCAAUACCAUAGACUGAAACUUAAUUGCUGAAGUAAGCCACUAUACCAUGUUGCUUGGUGUUAACGCCAAGAUCUUUCUCCACGUCCCAAUUACGUAAGACGUCCUGAUCCUGCACAGUAAACACGGUCAACACCGAAAGCUUGACGGCGGUUCCGUCGGGGGAUAGCUCAGGCGUGAGAAUUAGUACGUGUUCACAAGGUUAACAAUGGAGGAAUAUAUGGUCUAGUGUAUUGAGAGAGAUAAUAAAUCUCAGUUGUGUGUGUAUGGGAGAAUAUGAAUAAUCAAUAUAUGUGAGAACGUACCUCCAUACGAUGGCUUCCUUGCUAAGUUAUAUUACCUUUGCUUGGAUUACUGUGCCACCCACUACUACCUGACACCCCCUCUGAUCUGAUGGGCUCUGCCGACUAUAUCAGGUUUAUCUACUGCUUUUGGCCACUGUUUUCUACCGCCGGCCGGUUAUGAUCCCAUCCACAUUAAUGCAUGGCAGGAGCCUUGGUCAACUGUCAUGCUUUUUCAUCAUCACAAGUCAAAGUAACAGAUAUUAAAAUAUCUAAUGGGUCGAUCCACUGGACUGACCCGGUCCAAUAGGAUUAAAUAAAGUUGACACAAUAAAUGGGCUCAAAGAGUCCCAUGGCUUAAUAAUAAAAGCCCAACAGAUUAUACUGAUAAAUGGGCCCAAUUUAUCCGGCCCAAAAUAGGAGAAAUAUUAUGACCCAACACUUGGGUUUCAUUGGAAAGGGAAGGGAAGCUGAACUUUUCUGGGCAUCACCAUCGGGAUUUUCCACAUCAUUAGACAUCUAAAUCUGAGAAAGAAAAAAGAACUGCUAAUAUUAACUUUUUAUAUACUAUAUAUUAUUAUAUUUAUCAAAAAAAAAAAGUAUAGUAGAUCUGAUCUUGGGCUUCUUUUCUGCAUGAGAAGACAAAACAGAAAAUUGACCUACAGUCUUUCAUUUCAACUAAUAAAUUAUUCACAACUGAUUAAUUUUUAUAAAAUUCAAAAGAGAGAAUAGAAGACUUAAUCAUGGUCAAGUAUUAUAAUAGUUUGACAACUGGGAUAGAAUGAAACCCACUCUAGUAUUGGGAGGGAAUCAUGGAAACUGGGUGAGUAGGCAGGGCACCUGCAACCUACAUGAGUUGUGUUACCCUAACCUUGCUGUUCCCUGACCCUGAGGUAGAGUUGUUCCUGUCCCAACCCUGACAAAUCAUAAGCAGCCUACUCCUAGAACUUAAGUUGGCCUAGUAAUCAUGGACAAUAUCAAUUUGGCAAUAGAGCUAGAAUAAACUCUUUUCCAUCCUAAACUUUGAAAAUAAAAAAUAUAUAAUUUAUGCUUUUAGGAUAAUGCUUACUGAUAUCGUGUUUGAAUUGCUUUAAAAGCAUCAUUUUUAAUAUUGUUUGCGCUUUUAUGAUUAUGCCACUGCUAUCACACACUAUUAUCCCACGUUGUCUGUUCAAAACUUUGUUUAACUUUAUACUUGAACUUGGUUUAAUACUCCCUCCAUUUAAAAAAAAAGUCCCAUUGCAAAAUUUUCAGGUACUAAAGAUAUGUUUUGUUUCAUGUUUACUCAUAACGAUAAUAAGAUGUUAGUUUAGCAGCGAUGAUAUGAUAAUGAAAUUAUAAUAAUAAAUUAUCUUCGUUUUUUUGUGCAAAUGGGGCUCUUUUUAUGAAACUAUUUAUGCUACUAUGAUUACAACACUGUAAUCUCACACCGUCUUUCAAGACAUUAUUUCACUCUAUACUUCUAACUCUUGGUCGCAAUAUCUAGCGCAGCUCUCUUCUCCAUAAAAUUAUCCGUCAUUCUUUUACAAAUUUACUAUGAACUUUCAUCUCAAUUAUGUUGUUUUCCAAAGAAACAUUACCAUCGUAAUUUGUAUGGAUCCUCUACCUAAAGGUAAGUUACACAAUCAAUAAGGUGUACAAUGGGCUUAUAUAUCUUCCUUUUUUAUAUUUUUAUACGCUUUUCUUUCUUUCCCUUUAAUGUUUGCUUAUAAAAUUAGCUAUAAAGCAACAAACUGCAAUCUGAAUGUAGAACUAAUUCACUAAUCAAUGCAAAACAUAUAUAAGCAAAGACGGACUACAACACAGCCAAACGAUCCUAAAAUCCACAAAUAUGCGACCAACAAUAACAGAUAAAUCUGAAUCAUAAUAAAUUGACAAAAUAAACAGUAAGAUAUUUGUACCAAUAAAGAAACCUACAAUCUAAGCUUUGAACUUUAAUCCCAUUAAUAGAUUUUAUUCAGCUAUCGAAGAAAAUUACUAAAAAUUGAAAAGAUUAAAGUUUAUUGGAGCAAACAUUGCACAUACGUAUAUAUAAGGAGAGAGAAUUGACUUUUGCCAGUGAAAUUUAGCAGUGGCUCCGUAAAACUUUGAAUCUGAGGUCGAUCUCGUCAUCUCCGGAGAGGUCUAAGUUUGUUGGUCGGGCUAUUGGAGCAAUAGUGAUAGUAAUUUUGGGGGGUUAAAUACACUUUUCGUCACUCUACUCGACUCCGGUUUACAAAUACAUCACUGAACUCAAAAUUUUUACGGUCAACUCAUUGAACUAUAAUUUCUUUACAAAAAUCCGAAAAAUCGUCUACUCUGUUAAAAUAUUAACGGAAAAUUUAUGUGGCACAUGUAUAAUAAGCUGACAAGGAGAGAGAAUUUGAGUUGGAUAAUGAUUUAAAUUAAAAUAUACACAAUUCUAUAACAAAUAAUUAAAAGGAAGAUAUCCUUUUAAUUAUUCUCCAUUUCUCUCUCCUCUUCAACUAACAUAUUCUCCAUUUCUCUCUCCUCUUCAAAAGGAAGAUAUCCACAUCCAAAGGCAGAAAAAGUGAAACGGGUGGGGAGAGCCUUUUCACCUUUCCAAUUUUUCUCACCUCGACUGAAGAGAGAGAAAGUGAAGAAAAACACAGUCUAGAGACAUGGAAAUUAAGCAACAUAUGCACAAGGAGGAGGUGGAUAAAUAAAGAUCGGAUCAGUAUUUCAAUUUUUUGAUGGUAGAUCUGAUCGAAAGGGAAAGGAGGAAGAGGGCGGUUAGAUCAGAAAUCUGGCAGAAAGGAGGAAGAUGACGUUUCUCCUUUUCAAAUACAGAAAUCGUGGCGUUUCAUCCACUUUAUUACUUGAUCUGUUUAUCGUGGUAGAUGAUCCACUUCUCGGCGACGAGGAGGACGUCGGCGAUGGCCGAGAUCAGAUCUGUUGGGUCAAAUUAAUUUGUUGGUUCUGAGCUGAUUCACUAUGUUUGGUGCUUAAUUCUUUUAGUGGAAUCAGUUUGGUGUUAAUCUGGUUAUUUUAGUCGAUUAUUGUUAUUGUUUUGAAACUGAUUGAUUGGUUUAUUGUUGGGUUUUUUUGAAUUUCUUCCCCCAUCUCGCCGGCAACAAUGGCGACUACUUUUGAACACGCCGGAAUUUGGGUUUGUUCGGUGCAAAUUAGUUCUUGUUUUUGGUUUUGGGGUUUUCUGUUUUGUGUGGAUUAUUCUGUAUCGAUCGGAUAAUAUCGCUGGAAUCUGGGUUUUUUAGUUUAGUUGAAUGAUGAAUGUGAUAAUUUUGCCCCUGUAGCUACUAAAUGAAUGAUAAGUUUUAAUUUGUUUUUUUAGUUUGAUUUUAAUUGCCCAAAUUUUUUGUUUUUACCGUAAGACCCUAACUUAUUAUGAAUAAAAAUAAAUUUUUUCUAUUUAUUAUUUUGAAAUAAUAAAGAGUUAAUUUGAUAUAAUAUUUUGGUUAUGGGUGAAAUGUAUAAAUUUUAUAAAAUAAGCAAGUGGUUAUAAAAUAUUUAUUUUUAACGGGAAAUAUUCGUUUGGUCGUGGAAUAUUCUUGUUGUCAAGUAAUAUUCGUACGACGGCGCAACCAUUCGUGGGCCUCAUAACAGAAUAACUGUUGGAUGAAAAAAACGACAAGUUUGAGUUUUUAUAAAUAAUGGCGUAGUUGUUAUCGUUAACACUGUUGGAAUAUUCGGUGGUUCAAAUACGAUAAUACGCGUGGUUGCACAGUAGCACACGGUAUUGCACAGUAUUUUUGAAUUAUUAAUCCUUACGUAAGAAGGCACUACUCAAUAAUUGUUACAGUAGUUACUGUUCAAUAUUUUAUUUUAUUGAUUCAAUAAUUACUUCGUUGAUAUUUUAUAUUAUUGUUAUUUCAAUAAUUGUCACUGCACAGUAUUUCCUAUUAUCAGAUCAAUAAUUCAUAUUAUUUGAAUAAUAUUAUUAGAUAACAUUAUUGAUAAUGUCUAGAAAGUUCUGUCUAAGGAGAGGUUUGGUCACCUAAUUACGCGCCAGUAAGAAGAAAUCCUUAUUGGAAAGCCCCCUCUUUCCUGGGAACGGCCUGGUUGUCAUUAUUGUGAUUCUGUAAUAUUAUUUGUGAAUAAUUAUUUACUUAUUUAUAUGAUAAGAAAAUAUUUAUUUUAUGUGGAUAUAAAUGAUGAAUUUAUUUAUGUGGUUAUAAAUGAUGAAAUUAAUUUUGAUGUGUUUUAUCAGUAUCUUUGUCGGAAUGGAGAUAUUAAAAAUCAAAUCAAUAUUUUUACGAUAUAUUGCGUGAGUUAUAAUUUUUAAUUUGAUCGUUGGAUCGUUGUGAUUUUUGGAUAUGUUAUACAUAUAUAAGUUGAGUAUAUGUCCAUAAAUUUUGAACCGUUAAAAAUGAACGUAUGAUUUGUUAUGAAUUUUAAGAGGUGACUAAUUCAGAAAUUAGGUUUAUAAAUGAUUUUGGUGGAAAAUUCUAGAAUUGAGUGGGCCCCACUUGUGGUUGGUGAAGAAAUGUACUGAAUUUUAUUUUAAAUGUGGUGGGUGAUAAUAGUAGCAAAUAAAGUUAUCAGGUAGCAGGUCAAGUCUGCUUCGGCGUGCUAAUAUUUUCCUAUAAAUAGAGGGUUAAGUUAGAAUUGAAAAUCACACCAGAAACAUAAGCUUUCUCUCUUUCUCUCUCUAUAUUAUUGAGCGUAUUUUGUAAGUAUUUAGAUACUUUGAGAGUUGCUGUUCAGUACAAGUUUCAUUCAGCAUCACUUCCGAUCUUUCCUUCCGAUGUACUGAUUCUUUGAGGUAAGGGAUGUUAUUUUCUUCUUAAAUGAUAUUAUUUUCUUCAAUAUCAUUAUGUUGAGAUAUUGUUAUGAAGUUUAUUGUGGAAUUUCUACCUUUUUGUGUCGGGGUUACUAUUCACGUAUACGACACUAUUCACAAAUACGGCACUAUUCACCGAAAAAUAAAAUUUUCUCUUUUUCAUUCCAGAUGUCUUUUAUGGUUACUAUCUUUGAUUGUAUCCAUGUUUUGAUCUUUAUUCUACUUCACACUUGGUUAUUAUGGAAUAUUAUUGAAUUUGGAUAAAUCGAAAUACGAAUUCCUAAUAUUUAUCCUUUUGUCUCACUGGAUUCGUUCUCUAAAAUAUUUUUCAUCAUCCUCAGUCCUUAAUGGUUAUACUUGAUGAAUAUCUUUGGCCUGUAGUGCAAAGAUGAAUGAUUACCUGAUGAAUAUCUUUGGCCCGUAGUGCAAAGAUGAACAGGUGUUGAGAUGAACAUGACCAACUGGUGAUACAAAUGAAUAUAUUUGUCCCGUAGUGCAAAGAUGAAUAUUUGAUGCAAGAUGUAUAUUGAUUGAUGUUACAGGGAUAAAAUAUUGAUGAUGGACUUUUAAAUUCAUAGAUGAUAGUAGAUUUCAUUCUCUACUUAACUCUUCAAAUGAAUUGUUGUUUCCGUUGCAGUUGUUGAUCUAAAACUUGUUAUCUAUUGUAUUCUAUCAGAUUUUUCCCUGUUGAAGACUAAAGAUAAUUUGUUGUAUAUUAUCUUAGCCAUUAUAUUCUUUAAUGAGCUAAUUGAGCUCACCCUUUUCCUUUUUGUUCCAUUUUUCUUCAGGAUGUGAGAAUAUAGCAGGAUCUAGCCGGGGUAUGGAGUGAUGGUUCUAGAAAGGUGUUUUAUCAGUCCUCACUAUUUUGUAAAAUAGUGUAUGAAUAAUUGUAAUGAGGAUUUUAUUUGAGUGUUGAUAUUGUCUAGAAGACAAUAUUUGUAUUUAAACUCACAGUUAUUGUGUUGUCGUAUUUUGUACGACAAUUGUAUUAAUAAAGUUAUAAUUAUUUCUGUACCAUGUAUUUGACGACUUAGAAUGGUUGAUGUAUGUAAG
This 8077-nucleotide long non-coding RNA is filed under the name Panax ginseng (ginseng). Its description in RNAcentral is "long non-coding RNA (PGIN_LNC008229)". Lineage: Eukaryota; Viridiplantae; Streptophyta; Magnoliopsida; Apiales; Araliaceae. The record is from RNAcentral.